GCGCGGGUGGCGGAAUGGUAGACGCGUUAGCUUGAGGUGCUAGUCCUGGAAACGGGGUGGGGGUUCAAGUCCCCCUCCGCGCACAA
Molecule: transfer RNA, 86 nt
Filed under: Renibacterium salmoninarum ATCC 33209
Lineage: Bacteria; Bacillati; Actinomycetota; Actinomycetes; Micrococcales; Micrococcaceae
Description: tRNA-Leu-GAG-1-1
Rfam family: tRNA
About the family: Transfer RNA (tRNA) molecules are approximately 80 nucleotides in length. Their secondary structure includes four short double-helical elements and three loops (D, anti-codon, and T loops).
Source: RNAcentral